RNAcentral lists this ribosomal RNA (211 nucleotides) under Salmonella enterica subsp. enterica serovar Aba. Its description in RNAcentral is "partial 16S ribosomal RNA". It matches the Rfam family "Bacterial small subunit ribosomal RNA", at positions 1335 to 1533 of the family's 1533-position model. The record is from RNAcentral. Lineage: Bacteria; Pseudomonadati; Pseudomonadota; Gammaproteobacteria; Enterobacterales; Enterobacteriaceae.
CUAGUAAUCGUGGAUCAGAAUGCUACGGUGAAUACGUUCCCGGGCCUUGUACACACCGCCCGUCACACCAUGGGAGUGGGUUGCAAAAGAAGUAGGUAGCUUAACCUUCGGGAGGGCGCUUACCACUUUGUGAUUCAUGACUGGGGUGAAGUCGUAACAAGGUAACCGUAGGGGAACCUGCGGUUGGAUCACCUCCUUACCUUAAAGAAGC